Molecule: ribosomal RNA, 795 nt
Filed under: uncultured Streptococcus sp.
Lineage: Bacteria; Bacillati; Bacillota; Bacilli; Lactobacillales; Streptococcaceae
Description: bacterial SSU rRNA
Rfam family: Bacterial small subunit ribosomal RNA
Source: RNAcentral
UGCAAGUAGAACGCUGAAGAGAGGAGCUUGCUCUUCUUGGAUGAGUUGCGAACGGGUGAGUAACGCGUAGGUAACCUGCCUGGUAGCGGGGGAUAACUAUUGGAAACGAUAGCUAAUACCGCAUAAAAUUGAUUAUUGCAUGAUAAUUAAUUGAAAGAUGCAAUUGCAUCACUACCAGAUGGACCUGCGUUGUAUUAGCUAGUUGGUGAGGUAACGGCUCACCAAGGCGACGAUACAUAGCCGACCUGAGAGGGUGAUCGGCCACACUGGGACUGAGACACGGCCCAGACUCCUACGGGAGGCAGCAGUAGGGAAUCUUCGGCAAUGGGGGGAACCCUGACCGAGCAACGCCGCGUGAGUGAAGAAGGUUUUCGGAUCGUAAAGCUCUGUUGUAAGAGAAGAACGGGUGUGAGAGUGGAAAGUUCACACUGUGACGGUAUCUUACCAGAAAGGGACGGCUAACUACGUGCCAGCAGCCGCGGUAAUACGUAGGUCCCGAGCGUUGUCCGGAUUUAUUGGGCGUAAAGCGAGCGCAGGCGGUUAGAUAAGUCUGAAGUUAAAGGCUGUGGCUUAACCAUAGUAUGCUUUGGAAACUGUUUAACUUGAGUGCAGAAGGGGAGAGUGGAAUUCCAUGUGUAGCGGUGAAAUGCGUAGAUAUAUGGAGGAACACCGGUGGCGAAAGCGGCUCUCUGGUCUGUAACUGACGCUGAGGCUCGAAAGCGUGGGGAGCAAACAGGAUUAGAUACCCUGGUAGUCCACGCCGUAAACGAUGAGUGCUAGGUGUUAGGCCCUUUC